GAGGAAGGGAAGGGUAGGAGUUCAGCCUGCAGAGAUGGGAGCAGUGUUCUCGAAUGUUCAUGGGAAGAUUAAAUGGGACCCCGGCCAGGGAAAUACAUUCCUACUCAGUCUAUUCCUGUUUUGCAUCUCUUCUGUGGGCUUCAUGCCCAAUGUGGGGCUUGAACUCACAACCCUGGGAUCAAGAAUCAGAUGCCCAACUGAGCCAGCCGGGCGCCCCCUCAUUUGUAUUGUUCUUGAUGAAAAUGUCAGGAUUCAUCUAUUUUGAUGGGGAGUGUUCUUAUUAAAGGAGCCCCAUUGGAAUGUAUUUGUUAAUGGUCUUCAUCCUCCUGGUGAAAUCUAUACAGAUAAGGCUCAGCGUGUAUUAUCUCCCAGGGAGUGUUUAUAUUUUAUCGGUGAAGACUUACAAGCUCAGAAAGCCUUCAAGGGGUGAAGAACGAGCCUCUAAAAGAAAAUUUAAGGGCGCCCGGGUGGCUCAGUUGGCUGGGCGUCCGACUUCGGCUCAGAUCACGAUCUCACAGUUUGCGAGUUCGAGCCCCACAUCGGGCUCUGUGCUGACAGCUCAGAGCCUGGAGCCUGCUUCAGAUUCUGUGUCUCCCUCUCUCUCUGCCCCACCCCUGCUCAUGCUCUGUCUGUCUGUCUCGCUCAGAAAUAAAGACUAAAAAAAUUUAAAAGAAAGAAAUUUUAAGUCUAGGAACAGUGUGGGGCCAGGGAUCUUCUCAGUGAGUGAAUUUUCUUAUUGUAUCUCAUAGUA
Neofelis nebulosa (Clouded leopard) is the source of this 751-nucleotide long non-coding RNA. RefSeq lists it as uncharacterized. NCBI's taxonomy places the organism in Eukaryota, Metazoa, Chordata, Mammalia, Carnivora, Felidae. The transcript has 3 exons. The record is from RefSeq and is a predicted model, not a curated record.